This 490-nucleotide ribosomal RNA is filed under the name uncultured bacterium. RNAcentral's name for it is "bacterial SSU rRNA". It matches the Rfam family "Bacterial small subunit ribosomal RNA", at positions 29 to 509 of the family's 1533-position model. The record is from RNAcentral.
AUUGAACGCUGGCGGCAUGCUUUACACAUGCAAGUCGAACGGUAACAGGGAGCUUGCUCCGCUGACGAGUGGCGAACGGGUGAGUAACGCAUCGGAACGUACCCAGUCGUGGGGGGAUAACGUAGCGAAAGUUACGCUAAUACCGCAUACGUCCUGAGGGAGAAAGCGGGGGACCGUAAGGCCUCGCGCGAUUGGAGCGGCCGAUGUCGGAUUAGCUAGUUGGUAGGGUAAAGGCCUACCAAGGCGACGAUCCGUAGCGGGUCUGAGAGGAUGAUCCGCCACACUGGGACUGAGACACGGCCCAGACUCCUACGGGAGGCAGCAGUGGGGAAUUUUGGACAAUGGGCGAAAGCCUGAUCCAGCCAUGCCGCGUGAGUGAAGGAGGCCUUCGGGUUGUAAAGCUCUUUCUAGCCGGAAAGAAAUACGCGCAGGAGUAAUACUCUGCGUGGAUGACGGUACCGGAAGAAGAAGCACCGGCUAACUACGUGCC